GCUUUACCUGCUUGGGAUGGUUCUCACAGGACGUUGAGUCGGCGAGAUGAAAUGGGAACACGGUGAGGUGUAGCCAACAGGCGCCAAAUCCGUGACUGCCCCCGCAACUGUAGGCGGUGAGCGACCCCGGCAAAAACCACUGGGCUCCCGGUUCGGGACGUCUGGGAAGGUUCGGGAAAGCCUAGACCCGCAAGUCAGGAGACCUGCCAUCGCGAAUAGCAACUG
RNAcentral lists this non-coding RNA (225 nucleotides) under Pseudaestuariivita atlantica. Lineage: Bacteria; Pseudomonadati; Pseudomonadota; Alphaproteobacteria; Rhodobacterales; Paracoccaceae. The record is from RNAcentral.